ACGAUUACCACGGUGUGGUUCAUGACUGGGGUGAAGUCGUAACAAGGUAGCCGUAGGGGAACCUGCGGCUGGAUCACCUCCUUA
RNAcentral lists this ribosomal RNA (84 nucleotides) under Alloalcanivorax xenomutans. RNAcentral's name for it is "partial 16S ribosomal RNA". It matches the Rfam family "Bacterial small subunit ribosomal RNA", at positions 1450 to 1533 of the family's 1533-position model. The record is from RNAcentral. Lineage: Bacteria; Pseudomonadati; Pseudomonadota; Gammaproteobacteria; Oceanospirillales; Alcanivoracaceae.